Molecule: long non-coding RNA, 836 nt
Organism: Mandrillus leucophaeus (drill)
Lineage: Eukaryota; Metazoa; Chordata; Mammalia; Primates; Cercopithecidae
Exons: 8
Source: RefSeq, a predicted model, not a curated record
CAGAGAGGGACUCCGGGGACCCUCUGGUGGACAAGAACCUGAAGAGACAGGGCUUUCAAGAAAAUUACGACGCGAGGCUCUCACGGAUCUACAUCGCCCACAUGCUAAGGGAGCAGGUCCAGGAGCUUUUCAAUAAGAAAUACGGGGAAGUCUUGGGUAUCAAGUACCCGGUCCAGGUCCCCUACAAGCGGAUCAAGAGUAACCCUGCUCCGUGAUCAUUGAGGGGCUGCCCCCGGGAAUCCCGUUCCGAAAGCCCUGCACCUUCGGCUCCCAGAACCUGGAGAGGAUUCUUGCCGUGGCCAACAAGAUCAAGUUCACAGUCACCAGGCCUUUCCAAGGACUCAUCCCAAAGCCUGAUAAAGAUGACGCCAACAGACUCGGGGAGAAGGUGAUCCUGCGGGAGCAGGUGAAGGAACUCUUCAACGAGAAAUACGGUGAGGCCCUGGGCCUGAACCGACCAGUGCUGGUCCCUUAUAAACCGAUCCGGGACAGUCCAGAUGCCGUGGAGGUCACGGGCCUGCCUGAUGACAUCCCCUUCCGGAACCCCAACACCUACGACAUCCACCGGCUGGAGAAGAUCCUGAAGGCCCGAGAGCACGUCCGCAUGGUCAUCAUUAACCAGCUCCAACCCUUUGCAGAAAUCUGCAAUGAUGCCAAGGUGCCAGCCAAAGACAGCAGCAUUCCCAAGCGCAAGAGAAAGCGGGUCUCGGAAGGAAAUUCCAUCUCCUCUUCCUCCUUGUCUUCCUCUUCCUCAUCCUCUAACCCGGAUUCAGUGGCAUCAGCCAAUCAGAUCUCACUCAUGGUAAAGUUGCACAGAUUUGGACUCCAGCCCUCGU